CCUUACCACCUUUGACAUGGCAGGAACUUACCAGAGAUGGUUUGGUGCUCGAAAGAGAACCUGCACACAGGUGCUGCAUGGCUGUCGUCAGCUCGUGUCGUGAGAUGUUGGGUUAAGUCCCGCAACGAGCGCAACCCUUGCCAUUAGUUGCUACGAAAGGGCACUCUAAUGGGACUGCCGGUGACAAACCGGAGGAAGGUGGGGAUGACGUCAAGUCCUCAUGGCCCUUAUAGGUGGGGCUACACACGUCAUACAAUGGCUGGUACAAAGGGUCGCCAACCCGCGAGGGGGAGCCAAUCCCAUAAAGCCAGUCGUAGUCCGGAUCGCAGUCUGCAACUCGACUGCGUGAAGUCGGAAUCGCUAGUAAUCGUGGAUCAGAAUGUCACGGUGAAUACGUUCCCGGGUCUUGUACACACCGCCCGUCACACCAUGGGAGCGGGUCUCGCCAGAAGUAGGUAGCCUAACCGCAAGGAGGGCGCUUACCACGGCGGGGUUCGUGACUGGGGUGAAGUCGUAACAAGGUAAGCGUAGAUGA
This 535-nucleotide ribosomal RNA is filed under the name uncultured bacterium. RNAcentral describes it as "bacterial SSU rRNA". It matches the Rfam family "Bacterial small subunit ribosomal RNA", at positions 969 to 1509 of the family's 1533-position model. The record is from RNAcentral.